RNAcentral lists this ribosomal RNA (441 nucleotides) under uncultured bacterium. RNAcentral describes it as "partial 16S ribosomal RNA". It matches the Rfam family "Bacterial small subunit ribosomal RNA", at positions 338 to 795 of the family's 1533-position model. The record is from RNAcentral.
CCUACGGGUGGCUGCAGUGGGGGAUAUUGCACAAUGAGGGGAACCCUGAUGCAGCGACGCCGCGUGGGUGAAGGAGUGCUUCGGCAUGUAAAGCCCUAUCGGCAGGGAAGAAGCAAGACGGUACCUGACUAAGAAGCCCCGGAUAACUACGUGCCAGCAUCCGCGGUAAUACGUAGGGGGCGAGCGUUAUUCGGAUCCACUGUGUGUAAAGGGGGCGUAGACGGCCAAGCAAGCCAGGGGUGAAAGCCAGGGGCACAACCCCGGCAUUGCCCUUGGAACUGCAUGGCUGGAGUGCGGGAGGGGCAGGCGGAAGUCCUGGUGUAGCGGUGAAAUGCGUAGAUAUCAGGAGGAACACCGGCGGCGAAGGCGGCCUGCUGGACCGCGACUGACGUUGAGGCUCGAAAGCGUGGGGAGCGAACAGGAUUAGAUACCCGAGUAGUC